This is a long non-coding RNA of Bombus impatiens (common eastern bumble bee), 3672 nucleotides long. RefSeq lists it as uncharacterized. Lineage: Eukaryota; Metazoa; Arthropoda; Insecta; Hymenoptera; Apidae. The transcript has 2 exons. The record is from RefSeq and is a predicted model, not a curated record.
CUAUUUAUGAUAUUUUGUGAUUUGUAUCUAAAAAUGAAGAUUCAACAAGUAUUAACAUCGAUGAAGUGGUCGUUAUAUAAGUAAAUUAGUAAACUGUGAUAUGCGUGCCAACCAUAACGCGUAAAAAUCAAAAGAUGAUAGAACUUAGAAGAUAUUGGUUUUUUAAGCUAUUGACAUUAAAAUAUUUAUAAAAACAAACUGAAGUAAACUUUUCAAUACCGCACUAUGCGAUCUAUCUUCAGGAACAUUAAAGAGAAAAAUAGCUGCGGUUAACCAUUUUUAACAGUACUAACGAUUUUUUACCGGUGAAAUAUGACGCCACAGAGGUAGGAGAGCGUUGAAGAAGAAUCGAGGAUACGUGGAAGCUAAAAGGCAGCUGUUUCUCUCAAUUACAAUAUAUAUAUACAUUGCGAAAGGGAAUUUUACCGAAGACGAUAGUAAUUUAAAGCCAUAUGUUACCAUAUCAUUGUACGCGCGAGAAAAAGCUUCCCUCAGGGAUAUUUUCCGAGGAAAUCCGGCUGUAAAAAUCGAUAUGGAGUGGCGAUGAUAAGAAAAUCACGACGGUGACCCGCAAAACCUUAAUGGUCCGUAAGACAUCCUCUGAAAAAUUUCUGACUUUACUCCUGGUGAUAAACGAGCAAGGAUUAUAAAUGGAGGGAUAACGAGGGCAGAAUAUGAUGACCUAGCCAGAUGGAAAUUAAAAGGAAAGCUGUAAAAACCACUGUAAUACGUUCCGAGUUUUAUUUUACGAUUAUUUCUCUGUUUGUGUUAUUGCCGAAGAUUUACUUGUCUUGUGAGAAAGUUUUAAAAUUGAGAUUCGUUUAACUCGUAUUGACAGUGAUUUUGACUUUUCUCGCGCUGAUCCCCAAGCGCGCGAAGAAGGGCUGGAAGAAGGAUGGUCCUAAUAAAAGUGUGGAUACUCUUCUGGAAUUACAUUAGUAAUCUCAUGAAUAAGCCUGUAAUGCAACCAUUCUUCCGGAGCAUUAAGUAAAAUCGCUAUGCGUAGCCACUUUAUGUAAUUAAAUUAAAUGCGUGGCUAGGAAACAAUCAAAAAGAAUAUUCAGAAAGCUCACAUAUAUCCUAAGAUACCUGAAAUAAUCAAAACUUAGUCUUUUUCUUUCAAUGGAUUGGUAGCGAUUUGGUUUAACGAGUUUAUAAAAUUGAGAAAUUUUUGAGAGUCCAUAUUACUAACUUCACAACUACGAUAGAACUUCACAAAUCCCGAAAGCUCCAAGCACACAAACCAACAUCGUCUUUCAAAUAGAAAUUCCUUCAACGAACACUUCAAAACUUUUUACUAAACUCCUUCGACACUUGGUAGAAAGUUUUCUCGACAAAAGAAAAGGUUUAAACUUAUUAGAUCUAUCGGUAGUUCGUUCGAAACGCAAUAAUUGGACUGCGAAUACUUCUAAAAACUUAUAUUUUUAUAAACAUAACUAGAGAAGUGGAAGGGCCUACGUAUUUAUUUCGGUCCCUAAAUAUCAUAAGGAAUACUGUUUUGCGAUAUUUUAUAUAUUGUUACAGGUUAUGUAUAUCUACGCAUUUUUACAUUCUUACCCCUCAGUGGGUAUCUCGGUGACGCAUAAUAAUUUGGUGUAGGUUAUUUAAUCUUAAAGUAUUUAUUCUAAUUUGUAUCUUCUGAUUUACGUGAUAAAUAUCGUUAACAUAUCUUAUUGCGUAAGAUAUAGGAUAUAAAUUAAAAUGAAAUAACCUAACCUAAAUAAUUGUUAUCAUUUAUGACUCAACAAUACCAAUUAAAAAUUAAAUAUUUUAUAAAUAUUUAAAUAUCCGCAGUCCAGUGUUAACAAAGAAAGUCGACCAUAUAUUGCUGAAAGUAUUUAAUCUUAAAGUAUUUAUUCUAAUUUGUAUCUUCUGAUUUACGUGAUAAAUAUCGUUAACAUAUCUUAUUGCGUAAGAUAUAAGAUAUAAAUUAAAAUUAAAUAACCUAACCUAAAUAAUUGUUAUCAUCUAUGACUCAACAAUACCAAUUAAAAAUUAAAUAUUUUAUCAAUAUUUAAAUAUCCGCAGUCCAGUGUUAACAAAGAAAGUCGACCAUAUAUUGCUGAAAGAUUCGAUUUAAACGAGUCAUAAAAUCUACCUGGUGUUUCAUCCACGUUCGAGUUGGCCCAAACGAAGAAAGGCAACGUGUAUCACUGGUCAUAAAAGGAAUAUCGCCUGUGAACCACUUCUGAGGAAGUUUUACACAUCGGUAACACUUUUUUCCUUUCGUGGAUCACGAGGGCGCUGUUACUCGGUUCAAAGACGAGGCCCCCUGUUCGCUGAAUUUAUGGCUCGGGAAAGCAGUCUGUGAAAAAGCUGCUGGAGGAUCGUCUUCCAAGGAAAAAAAAUAUCGAAGAAAGAAAGAAGAGUGGCAUUAGGUGUCGUGGUGAAAAAGAACAAAGCUUUCGAGGAAGAUGGAAGGCAACCCAGAUGGAGAUGGCUUCGCAAGAAAAUUAUUGGGCGUGUUUCAACAUAGAAUAAAGGUUGAAUUGACUUGCGUAAUAUGAUGGAAAGAAAUGAUUCUAUACAGAAUUAGUAUAAAAUGUUGUUUAGUACUUAGAAUAUUGAAAGGUUAUGUUUUACGUUAUGUUUCGUUGCACUUUAUUAAGUAGAUACAAUCUGGAACAGUUUCAGUUUUUUAAUUGACUGAAGAAAUAUUUAAAUUUAAUUUCAAUCAUUCGUUCAAAUAAAACUUAUCAUAUAAACAUAUUCUAUUACUGGUAGAAAAAGAUUCAUCAAUUUCUAACUAAAAAGUGAAAACUAGAUGAUGUGAAACUACUUAGGAAAAUGGCAAGGAGGUUAUAUUAUAACUUCAAUUUAAAAGACAAUAAUUCUUUCGGAUAAAUUCCAAGGAAGAAGUAUUUAAAGUUUAAGAACUAAAAGAUCCAAUAAUCCUAAAUCCAUCGCAAAUUCUACAUACUUUUCUGAGAAAUUUAUAAAUUGCACUUUCUGUAACCAGUCGUGACAGUAUAUCAACUUCCUAGAAUUCCAGUCUCAGAUUGAUUGCACAAGUGCCGAAAAAUUGGAAGAAAACAGAAGUUAAAGGGAAAGUAAUAGCUCGAGAUAUUCAAAAAUGUUUCGCCGAAUCGAAUUUCUGGGGCAAAACUUAUCAAUGGUAAUAAAGGACUAGAAAAUACAACGCUACUCCUCUGCAAUAUAAAUACUUGUAUAUGUUCGUCCGCCACUGUUUAACGUACACUACCGCCCUCUGAAAUCGUAAUCUCGGAUUUUCGACGGUGUUAUUGAUAGAGACAAAAUACAUAAUCCACAUCCAUAGAUUAGGGGAUUAGACGGAUGCCAGUUGAUAGGAAAAUUUUGCUCCCGUGCCUACUCGGUAAACAGAAAGUCUCCGAAUACCUUCUAGCAAAAGGAAAGAAAACAUUGAAAUUAACUGAAAAAGUUUGCUUUCGGAAAAGGAAAUGGCAAAGUAGAGAUUAGAAAUAUAUAUAUGUUAUAAAUUCUUUAACCAUUUAUGAUCAACAAGUAAACAAGUAAAUAUUUUGUUCAAAGGGAAUUUCAUAGCAUUUUUUAAUAAUAUCAUUGAUUUGAACGUAGAUGUAACACAUCUUAUGGAAAUCAAUUUUGGCUUUUAGAAGACAUGGUUGCUUAAUUCCUAUUACAUGAAUUCUAUCAUAUUCAAUAUCUGAUAUUCAAAGGAGUUUCUCUUAGAAA